This 300-nucleotide ribosomal RNA is filed under the name uncultured Alteromonas sp. Its description in RNAcentral is "bacterial SSU rRNA". It matches the Rfam family "Bacterial small subunit ribosomal RNA", at positions 496 to 795 of the family's 1533-position model. The record is from RNAcentral. Lineage: Bacteria; Pseudomonadati; Pseudomonadota; Gammaproteobacteria; Alteromonadales; Alteromonadaceae.
GGCAACUGCGUGCCAGCGGGCGCGGUAAGACGAAGGAUGCAAGCUGUAUCCGGAUUCAUUUGGUUUAAAGGGUGCGUAGGCUGACUUGUAAGUCAGUGGUGAAAUCUCUUUGCUUAACAAAGAAACUGCCAUUGAUACUGCUAGUCUAGAGUAUAGAUGACGUUGGCGGAAUAUGACAUGUAGUGGUGAAAUACUUAGAUAUGUCAUAGAACACCGAUUGCGAAGGCAGCUAACGAAACUAUAACUGACGCUGAGGCACGAAAGUGCGGGGAUCAAACAGGAUUAGAUACCCUAGUAGUC